GAUGAACGCUAGCGGCAGGCUUAAUACAUGCAAGUCGAGGGGCAGCACAGGUAGCAAUACUGGGUGGCGACCGGCAAACGGGUGCGGAACACGUACGCAACCUUCCUUUAAGUGGGGGAUAGCCCAGGGAAACUUGGAUUAAUACCCCUUAACAUUAUGAGAUGGCAUCAUUUUAUAAUUAAAGCUCCGGCGCUUAAAGAUGGGCGUGCGCCUGAUUAGGUAGUUGGCGGGGUAACAGCCCACCAAGCCUACGAUCAGUAACUGGUGUGAGAGCACGACCAGUCACACGGGCACUGAGACGCGGGCCCGACUCCUACGGGAGGCAGCAGUAAGGAAUAUUGGUCAAUGGACGCAAGUCUGAACCAGCCAUGCCGCGUGGAGGAUGACGGCCCUCUGGGUUGUAAACUCCUUUUAUCUGGGAAGAAAUGCAGAUUUUCUAAUCUGUUUGACGGUACCAGAGGAAUAAGCACCGGCUGACUCCGUGCCAGCCGCCGCUGUAA
RNAcentral lists this ribosomal RNA (500 nucleotides) under uncultured bacterium. RNAcentral describes it as "partial 16S ribosomal RNA". It matches the Rfam family "Bacterial small subunit ribosomal RNA", at positions 28 to 523 of the family's 1533-position model. The record is from RNAcentral.